GCGCAGCAGGCGCGAAAACUCCGCAAUACGCGAAAGCGUGACGGGGCUACCCCGAGUGCCGUCCGCUGAGGAUGACUUUUCCAUGCUGUAAGGAGGCGUGGGAAUAAGGAGAGGGCAAGUCUGGUGUCAGCCGCCGCGGUAAUACCAGCUCUCCGAGUGGUAGGGAUGAUUAUUGGGCUUAAAGCGUCCGUAGCCGGCUCAUCAAGUCUCCCGUUAAAUCCAACGAUUCAAUCGUUGGACUGCGGGAGAUACUGUUAAGCUAGGAGGCGGGAGAGGCCGACGGUAUUCCCGGAGUAGGGGUGAAAUCCUAUAAUCCCGGGAAGACCACCAGUGGCGAAGGCGGUCGGCUAGAACGCGCUCGACAGUGAGGGACGAAAGCUGGGGGAGCGAACCGGAUUAGAUACCCCCGUAGUCC
Molecule: ribosomal RNA, 415 nt
Filed under: uncultured crenarchaeote
Lineage: Archaea; Thermoproteati; Thermoproteota
Description: partial 16S ribosomal RNA
Rfam family: Archaeal small subunit ribosomal RNA
Source: RNAcentral